Molecule: long non-coding RNA, 284 nt
Organism: Alligator sinensis (Chinese alligator)
Lineage: Eukaryota; Metazoa; Chordata; Crocodylia; Alligatoridae
Exons: 3
Source: RefSeq, a predicted model, not a curated record
GGCUGUGCAUGUGAAGAGAGCACCUGGGCUCCCCCAUAUGAUUUUCAGUGCCUAUACUUGAAGAAACGUAAGGUCGUCUCCAGCCUUACCCUUGAAGGGACUGCACACAGCUUCAGAGAAGCCGAAGUGGGGGAUGAGGCCUCACUCUUCUGCCAGACUGUGUAUGGUUAAAGCCAGACAAGCUUCUUCACCCUACCCUGCUGAGGUACGUCUACCCUAACCUGAAAAAAACAACUCCAGGAGGAAAAAAAGAUGAGGAAACUGAGGCAAAAAAGAGCUGAGUG